This 460-nucleotide ribosomal RNA is filed under the name uncultured bacterium. Its description in RNAcentral is "partial 16S ribosomal RNA". It matches the Rfam family "Bacterial small subunit ribosomal RNA", at positions 338 to 795 of the family's 1533-position model. The record is from RNAcentral.
CCUACGGGAGGCAGCAGUGAGGAAUAUUGGUCAAUGGCCGGAAGGCUGAACCAGCCAUGCCGCGUGAAGGUCAGUGCCCUAUGGGCGUUAAACUUUUUUUUUUCGGGAGCAAUAAUGGUCACGUGUGGCCAGACGAGAGUACCGUACGAAUAAGCAUCGGCGUACUUCGUGCCAGCAGACGCGGUAAUACGGGGGAUGCAAGCGUUAUCCGGAUUUUUUGGGUUUAAAGGGUGCGUAGGCUGUGAGGUAAGUCAGCGGUGAAAUGCCCCCGGCCAACGGGGUGAAGUGCCAUUGAUACUGCCUUGCUGGAAUGCGGAUGCCGUGGGAGGAAUGUGUGGUGUAGCGGUGAAAUGCAUAGAUAUCACACAGAACACCGAUUGCGAAGGCAUCUUACGAAUCCGCGAUUGACGCUGAUGCACGAAAGCGUGGGUAUCAAACAGGAUUAGAUACCCGAGUAGUC